This 496-nucleotide long non-coding RNA is filed under the name Mytilus galloprovincialis (Mediterranean mussel). Lineage: Eukaryota; Metazoa; Mollusca; Bivalvia; Mytilida; Mytilidae. The record is from RNAcentral.
UACCUAAUGAACAGUUUUUUAAGUGUUAACUGUAAACCUGUUAAUUAUCCCAACCAUACGCUAUGAGUAUAUACCCCUGCGAUCAUGACCAUACGCGUAUGGUCUAAAUACUCAUAUAGUCCGGAAUAUAUAGAUGUGUACAUAAACAUGCCUUGGUUUUUUUUCAUAAAUGUAGUUAAAGCAAGUAUGAAAAUAUUGUAUUUUGUGUAUUUACAACAUAUAUAUAAGCACUCAGUUUAGUUUCAUUUAAAUAAAAAUUUAAGAAAAAAUUACCGUACAAUUAUGAAAUACACUCCAAUUAAAACACAUAUUAGAAUAUAAGACACAAUCAAGAACAAAACAUCUAGUCCAUGACUUACAUUCUGCCAUGUAACAUUAACAUCGGCGGAACAAUGUAUUCCCGGCUUUUCACAGGAAACAGUUUCUGUUGUGAUUUUAUUGUGUGUCUUGCUCCAAGGAAGGCGUAAUCCAAUGAACUUCCAAACAGCGUUUUUUU